Molecule: ribosomal RNA, 292 nt
Filed under: uncultured bacterium
Lineage: Bacteria
Description: partial 16S ribosomal RNA
Rfam family: Bacterial small subunit ribosomal RNA
Source: RNAcentral
GUGCCAGCAGCCGCGGUAAGACGUAGGGGGCAAGCGUUGUCCGGAUUCAUUGGGCGUAAAGCGCGUGUAGGCGGCCAGGUAGGUCGGAUGUGAAAACUGGAGGCUCAACCUCCAGCUGUCAUCCGAAACCAUCUGGCUAGAGUCCGGAAGAGGAGAGUGGAAUUCCUGGUGUAGCGGUGAAAUGCGCAGAUAUCAGGAAGAACACCUAUGGCGAAGGCAGCUCUCUGGGACGGUACUGACGCUGAGACGCGAAAGCGUGGGGAGCGAACAGGAUUAGAAACCCUUGUAGUCC